UCCACAAGGAGAUAUAAGAAGCUUCAGAGUUAAAAUGUAAACUCUCUAAUAUUGUCUUUGCUAUGUAAUUAAACAGAAAUGCCAUUUAAAGGGACAGUAUUUUGUAUUUUCCAAGCAUACAGUGCCAUUUUAUAGAAUAAUCAAGUAACUUGGUAUGUUACCUUUAGUUGUUGUAAAAAUGUUUACAUAUCAUGAAUAACUUGGAAGAAAUUUGACAUCAUAAUUUCACACCUUGAAAUUGGUGUUUGUCUCUUUAAGACUGGCUGCAGGAGAUCCAAGGAUUCCAAUCAAAGCAACACAGCAGCACUUCAUCAGAGGAAGAGGGGACCGUCUCAUCUCACACACGUACCUAAUUCCCUGAUACCACCAAUGGAUGUCAUCAGAACUGGGCCCUUUAAAAUACUAUGCACAGUAGUCAGACCAGACUUUAGCAGACUUUUCCCUGGGCUUCUGACAGGGCAGGCACUCAGAAAAUUUUCAUAUCUUUUUAUUCCAAGUACCAGACUCACGUCAUCAUUGAGACUUUGAAAAAUCAUAACACAGCAUUAUUUCCAUUUGGGACAAUCCAGCGUUCACCGUUUGGGCACACAUUAGGGAUGGGUAGCAGUUGAAGAACACCCAAGCAAGUGUCCUGUGUGUCCCACAUGAGCGUCCAGCAGCAUGCACCAGACUGAGGCCGUCCACAGCCUCAGGCGCUGUGUUGACUGGGCCUGCCAUGUCAUUAACAGUCGCCUUGUUCUGCUCUAUCUUAUUAAAGCCAUUCCUUCAGGAGGGCAGACGAGCAUGUCACAGUGUGAAACCAGGCCAAGGAGGGAAGGUGACCAUGCUGCCACCCUGGGUUCUAGCGGGAGGGGCAGGAGGCUGUGUUGUCAGCCUCCUCCCGGACCCCCUGAUGGUCCCCGUGAUUCCCUUGUCAGUCUGUGUUAAUGGAAGUCACGGUGGUUGUGCUCCUUCGUAUCCUUAUCUCGUGUAGCAGCGGAGUCGAGCAACCCAGCAGUAUCUGAUCAGCCUAACCAGCUGCCACCGCUGCGCUGAAUGUUGUUGAUGUCUCUUGGGUUAGCGAGGAAAACCGCUGAACACGACUGGAUCUAGAACCGGAGAGUCUGGACCGAGCUCCACACGAUCCACUCAGCAUUCGGCCUGGUUGUGGGCAGCUAUUAGAGAUUAAACGCCUCUGACUGGUGAGCUCCAGGGAGAGAAACUGCUGGGGAACGGGCCCAGAGAAACUGGAAAGCCUGACAGCUUUUAGCUUUCGUCCUACUGCGACUAACUGACUGAAUGACUGGUGUGUGUGGCAUUUUUUUCCCUCUGAUCACCGCUCUGCUGCUGCCAACCAGUUUAUGUAAAAGUGAUUAGCAGUAAUUAAUCCUUAAUCACUAUGAUUAGCCAAGUCGCAGUAAAUUAAGCCACAUCUGGAGCAGCUGAGGGCUCCUGAAUAGCAGCAGGCGGGCUCACGGUGAGUGGAGCUGCUUAUGGAGACUACCUGGAACACCUGAGAGCAAAACCACUGGCAGCGCCUCAGCUGCCUGGUCGGGGUUUCACCUUCGACACGAGCCAACCAGGAAGCUGUAGCUUCAUACCAGCCAGCAGGAGACCCGCUAACUGUGUUUAGCUCAGGCACUGCAAGAUGGAAACGAUGGAGGACCAAAAAUUGACAUAAUAAAAAAUAAAAGCAGAAACAGAUUCCCCAAAUAAAUAAAUCAAUACACUUAAAAUGCACCAAAUAAUUUAAAAAAGUAAACUACACAUUAUUUUGUUCAUUUUGUAUAAAUAGAAUGCAAAUUAAGGCAGAAGAAACACUUUUCCAAAUACAUUCUCUUUAAUAUAAAGCUUAAUAAACAUACACUGUAAGUAAUGUAUAUGUAUGUUAGAUCAGGGUAAAGCACUUCCUGUGACAAUGUAUAGUACUCUGUAUGUUUCUUACCUUCACAUCUCAGCAGAUAGAAACUACGAUCAGAUCAACAAAGCUGGUGUUCAAACAAGAGGUCUCACUUCAACAUAAACUGCAGCUGUGUCUGUAUCAGGUUCAUUCUUGGUUACAAUAUAUUUGUUCUUGAUUUACUAAAGUUACUCCCAGUGGCUAGAAUAUUCAGAAAUUUUACUCAAGUAAGAGUAGAGAUGCUUCACAGUAACAAUACUCAUGUAAAAGAAAAAAAUACAGUGUAGUAAAGUUACUCCUAGAAUCAAUUUUUCCCCAAAACGUUAAAGUAAAUAUAACAGAGUAAAUGUAAUUAGUUACUACCCAGCUUUGCAUGUAACUGACUUUGAAUCUUCCAAAAUAAAUGAAUUGACAACAUUUUUCUGUAUGUAAACGUACUUAUUUUUAGAGCGCUGCAAGUCCUGAGCUGAAUAAAGAUACACUGACACAGCAGGAAAAUGCAACCAAAA
Molecule: long non-coding RNA, 2388 nt
Organism: Xiphophorus hellerii (green swordtail)
Lineage: Eukaryota; Metazoa; Chordata; Actinopteri; Cyprinodontiformes; Poeciliidae
Exons: 2
Source: RefSeq, a predicted model, not a curated record